Molecule: unclassified non-coding RNA, 342 nt
Filed under: soil metagenome
Description: partial contains 5.8S ribosomal RNA, internal transcribed spacer 2, and large subunit ribosomal RNA
Rfam family: 5.8S ribosomal RNA (bases 1-120)
Source: RNAcentral
GAUGAAGAACGCAGCGAAAUGCGAUAAGUAAUGUGAAUUGCAGAAUUCAGUGAAUCAUCGAAUCUUUGAACGCACAUUGCGCCCGCUAGUAUUCUGGCGGGCAUGCCUGUCCGAGCGUCAUUUCAACCCUCAAGCCCCCGGGCUUGGUGUUGGGGAUCGGCGAGCCUCCGCGCCCGCCGUCCCCUAAAUCUAGUGGCGGUCUCGCUGUAGCUUCCUCUGCGUAGUAGCACACCUCGCACUGGGAAACAGCGCGGCCACGCCGUUAAACCCCCAACUUCUGAACGUUUGACCUCGGAUCAGGUAGGAAUACCCGCUGAACUUAAGCAUAUCAAUAAGCGGAGG